UUCCAAGUGCGCUUGCGCACAGGCUGCGCGGGAAAAGGCGCGGCGCGGCAGUGUGAGAGGCGGAGAUGGCUGUGAGGCGGUCGCUGGCGGCUUGCUCCGCGGAGUUCGGGAAGGACGAAGACGCCGUGCUGUUCCUAGAAAGAGCCCAUUACCGACAUGACCCGCGCUGGCUGCUGCCGGUGUCCCCACGCGUCUGCGUGGCCUGCAUGCUGGAGCUGCUGCCGGAGCCCGGCGUGUCGGUGGUGCGCAAGAAGCACGUGGUGUCCUGCUUCCGAGAUGCCCUUGUGAGGCAUGCCUCCUUGGUCACACAGCUGUUGGUUCAGGACCAGAGAGUCUGCAUCCAUUUCAUAAGCAUGCUUUUUGGACUGUUAUGCAGCGUGGAAGAUGGGAGUGUAACAGACCUCUGUAUUGAAGUCCUUGUCCAGCUUACCAUGCAGCUGAAGCUGGAACAGAUCAUCCACUGCCUGCUGGACGAGUGCCAGAAACAGCUGUGUAACAUGCCCUCCAUGCAAGGCAGCCUGGCCAUCCUGACCCUUCUUGGCAAGUUGGUGGAUGCCAUCCCUGUCCUGGCUGACGAACUUGUAAAGGAGCAUGGUUUGCUGAGGCACCUGCUGAAGUAUGAUCUCUUUGUGUCCAUGAUCAUGAACAAGUUCAUGCUGGCAGGAAAUGCUGAGAGUGUCAAGGGAUCAUCAGGAGAGCUCUCACUGCCUUUGGUGCUCAAAAAGGUAAUUGUCUUACAGUUUUUUUUUUUUUUUUUUUUUUUCAGUACAGGGGAUUCAACUCAGGGCCUUUGCACUGAGCUACAUCUCCUGUCUUGUGAUUCUUGGUCUCUAGGUUCAAUAACAAGAGAACUCAGGUGCUUCUUGGACCUUGUUCUCAUCUACCAUUCUUUUUAUCAGGUUUCCAAAAGUAUCUUCUUACUGACCAAAAUAAUAUGCUAUCAAGCCAGCCAUGGUGGUAUACGCUUGUAAUCUUAGCACUGGGAAGCUCAGGCAGGAGGAUCAUUGUGAGUUUGAAGCCAGCCUGGGUUACAUAGUGAGUUCAAGGCCAGCCUGAUUUACAUAGUGAGAUCCUAUCAACAAAACAAAGCAAAACAAAACCAGCCCUGAAAUUGGGAGGUAUUUUACUGUCAAUGGUAUAUCAUAAUUUAAUUGGUACAUAAUAUAAUACUUUGCUUUACAUCAGUAGUAUCUUAGUGUAAAAUACAAAAUGUUAUUUCCUUUAGAAAAGAGAACAAGAUAAAAAUAUC
Molecule: long non-coding RNA, 1249 nt
Filed under: Chinchilla lanigera (long-tailed chinchilla)
Lineage: Eukaryota; Metazoa; Chordata; Mammalia; Rodentia; Chinchillidae
Description: lncRNA (ENSCLAG00000027172.1)
Source: RNAcentral